GACGAACGCUGGCGGCGUGCCUAAUACAUGCAAGUCGAACGCACUCUCGUUUAGAUUGAAGGAGCUUGCUCCUGAUUGAUAAACAUUUGAGUGAGUGGCGGACGGGUGAGUAACACGUGGGUAACCUGCCCUAAAGUGGGGGAUAACAUUUGGAAACAGAUGCUAAUACCGCAUAAAACCUAACACCGCAUGGUGUAGGGUUGAAAGAUGGUUUCGGCUAUCACUUUAGGAUGGACCCGCGGUGCAUUAGUUAGUUGGUGAGGUAAAGGCUCACCAAGACCGUGAUGCAUAGCCGACCUGAGAGGGUAAUCGGCCACACUGGGACUGAGACACGGCCCAGACUCCUACGGGAGGCAGCAGUAGGGAAUCUUCCACAAUGGACGAAAGUCUGAUGGAGCAACGCCGCGUGAGUGAAGAAGGUUUCGGAUCGUAAAACUCUAGUUGUUGGAGAAGAAUGUAUCUGAUAGUAACCGAUCAGGUAGUGACGGUAUCCAACCAGAAAGCC
This 505-nucleotide ribosomal RNA is filed under the name uncultured bacterium. RNAcentral's name for it is "bacterial SSU rRNA". It matches the Rfam family "Bacterial small subunit ribosomal RNA", at positions 28 to 492 of the family's 1533-position model. The record is from RNAcentral.